RNAcentral lists this ribosomal RNA (1529 nucleotides) under Apibacter adventoris. RNAcentral's name for it is "bacterial SSU rRNA". It matches the Rfam family "Bacterial small subunit ribosomal RNA". The record is from RNAcentral. Lineage: Bacteria; Pseudomonadati; Bacteroidota; Flavobacteriia; Flavobacteriales; Weeksellaceae.
UACAAUGGAGAGUUUGAUCCUGGCUCAGGAUGAACGCUAGCGGGAGGCCUAACACAUGCAAGCCGAGGGGUAUUUUGGAGCUUGCUUCAAGAGAGACCGGCGUACGGGUGCGUAACGCGUAUGUAACUUACCUAUAUCACGGGGAUAGCCCGGGGAAACUCGGAUUAAUACCGGAUAACAUAUAAUGUAGCCUUACAUUGUAUUAAAAGGAUUUAUCGGAUAUAGAUAGGCAUGCGUAGGAUUAGUUAGUUGGUAAGGUAACGGCUUACCAAGGCAAUGAUCCUUAGGGGGCCUGAGAGGGUGAACCCCCACACUGGAACUGAGACACGGACCAGACUCCUACGGGAGGCAGCAGUGAGGAAUAUUGGACAAUGGGUGAGAGCCUGAUCCAGCCAUCCCGCGUGAAGGACGACAGCCCUAUGGGUUUUAAACUUCUUUUGUAUGGGAAUAAACCACAUUACGUGUAAUGUGCUGAAUGUACCAUACGAAUAAGCAUCGGCUAACUCCGUGCCAGCAGCCGCGGUAAUACGGAGGAUGCGAGCGUUAUCCGGAUUUAUUGGGUUUAAAGGGUCCGUAGGCGGAUUUGUAAGUCAGUGGUGAAAUCCUACAGCUUAACUGUAGAACUGCCAUAGAUACUGCGAGUCUUGAAUAGUAUUGAAGUAGCUGGAAUGUGUAGUGUAGCGGUGAAAUGCAUAGAUAUUACACAGAACACCGAUUGCGAAGGCAGGUUACUAAAUACCGAUUGACGCUAAGGGACGAAAGCGUGGGGAGCGAACAGGAUUAGAUACCCUGGUAGUCCACGCUGUAAACGAUGGAUACUCGUUGUUGGGGAGUAAAUUCUCAGUGACUAAGCGAAAGUAAUAAGUAUCCCACCUGGGGAGUACGACCGCAAGGUUGAAACUCAAAGGAAUUGACGGGGGCCCGCACAAGCGGUGGAGCAUGUGGUUUAAUUCGAUGAUACGCGAGGAACCUUACCAGGGCUUAAAUGGGAAUUGACGUACUUAGAAAUAAGUAUUUCUUCGGACAAUUUUCAAGGUGCUGCAUGGUUGUCGUCAGCUCGUGCCGUGAGGUGUCAGGUUAAGUCCUAUAACGAGCGCAACCCUUAUCAUUAGUUGCCAACGGGUAAAGCCGGGAACUCUAAUGAGACUGCCAGUGCAAACUGCGAGGAAGGUGGGGAUGACGUCAAAUCAUCACGGCCCUUACGCCCUGGGCCACACACGUGCUACAAUGGCCGGUACAGAGGGCAGCUACACAGCGAUGUGAUGCGAAUCUCGAAAGCCGGUCUCAGUUCGGAUUGGAGUCUGCAACUCGACUCUAUGAAGCUGGAAUCGCUAGUAAUCGCAUAUCAGCCAUGAUGCGGUGAAUACGUUCCCGGGCCUUGUACACACCGCCCGUCAAGCCAUGGAAGCUGGGGGUACCUGAAGUCGGUGACCGUAAAAGGAGCUGCCUAGGGUAAAACUAGUGACUGGGGCUAAGUCGUAACAAGGUAGCCGUACCGGAAGGUGCGGCUGGAACAUCUCUUUUUUAGA